This 253-nucleotide ribosomal RNA is filed under the name uncultured bacterium. RNAcentral's name for it is "partial 16S ribosomal RNA". It matches the Rfam family "Bacterial small subunit ribosomal RNA", at positions 524 to 776 of the family's 1533-position model. The record is from RNAcentral.
UACGUAGGGUGCAAGCGUUGUCCGGAAUUAUUGGGCGUAAAGAGCUCGUAGGCGGUUUGUCGCGUCUGCUGUGAAAACUCGGGGCUUAACCCCGGGCCUGCAGUGGGUACGGGCAGACUAGAGUGCGGUAGGGGAGACUGGAAUUCCUGGUGUAGCGGUGAAAUGCCCAGAUAUCAGGAGGAACACCGGUGGCGAAGGCGGGUCUCUGGGCCGUAACUGACGCUGAGGAGCGAAAGCGUGGGGAGCGAACAGG